Non-coding RNA from Methylobacterium sp. Leaf456, 53 nucleotides. NCBI's taxonomy places the organism in Bacteria, Pseudomonadati, Pseudomonadota, Alphaproteobacteria, Hyphomicrobiales, Methylobacteriaceae. The record is from Rfam.
GAGGCCGGAGGUCAACGUCCGACAGCGCGUCCGCGCCCUCGGGCGCACUCGUC